This 331-nucleotide ribosomal RNA is filed under the name uncultured Oscillibacter sp. RNAcentral describes it as "bacterial SSU rRNA". It matches the Rfam family "Bacterial small subunit ribosomal RNA", at positions 355 to 698 of the family's 1533-position model. The record is from RNAcentral. Lineage: Bacteria; Bacillati; Bacillota; Clostridia; Eubacteriales; Oscillospiraceae.
UGGGGAAUAUUGGGGCAAAUGGGACGCAAGUCUGACCCAGCAACGCCGCGUGAAGGAAGAAGGCUUUCGGGUUGUAAACUUCUUUGACAGGGGAAGAGCAGAAGACGGUACCCUGAAAACAAGCCACGGCUAACUACGUGCCAGCAGCCGCGGUAAUACGUAGGUGGCGAGCGUUGUCCGGAUUUACUGGGUGUAAAGGGCGUGUAGCCGGGUUGGCAAGUCAGAUGUGAAAUCUAGGGGCUCAACCCCUAAACUGCAUUUGAAACUGUUGAUCUUGAGUAUCGGAGAGGUAACCGGAAUUCCUUGUGUAGCGGUGAAAUGCGUAGAUAUA